GGAGCCGUCGCAUAACUGGUAUUGCACCGGUCUCGAAAACCGGCGCCCGAGAGGGUGUGUGGGUUCGAAUCCCACCGGCUCCG
Molecule: transfer RNA, 83 nt
Filed under: bacterium
Lineage: Bacteria
Also listed under: 2 other names
Description: tRNA-Ser
Rfam family: tRNA
About the family: Transfer RNA (tRNA) molecules are approximately 80 nucleotides in length. Their secondary structure includes four short double-helical elements and three loops (D, anti-codon, and T loops). Further hydrogen bonds mediate the characteristic L-shaped molecular structure. tRNAs have two regions of fundamental functional importance: the anti-codon, which is responsible for specific mRNA codon recognition, and the 3' end, to which the tRNAs corresponding amino acid is attached (by aminoacyl-tRNA synthetases). tRNAs cope with the degeneracy of the genetic code in two manners: having more than one tRNA (with a specific anti-codon) for a particular amino acid; and 'wobble' base-pairing, i.e. permitting non-standard base-pairing at the 3rd anti-codon position.
Source: RNAcentral